Molecule: ribosomal RNA, 497 nt
Filed under: uncultured bacterium
Lineage: Bacteria
Description: partial 16S ribosomal RNA
Rfam family: Bacterial small subunit ribosomal RNA
Source: RNAcentral
GAUGAACGCUGGCGGCGUGCCUAAUACAUGCAAAUCGAGCGAACAGACGAGGAGCUUGCUCCUUCGACGUUAGCGGCGGACGGGUGAGUAACACGUAGGUAACCUACCUAUAAGACUGGGAUAACUUCGGGAAACCGGAGCUAAUACCGGAUAAUAUUUCGAACCGCAUGGUUCGAUAGUGAAAGAUGGCUUUGCUAUCACUUAUAGAUGGACCUGCGCCGUAUUAGCUAGUUGGUAAGGUAACGGCUUACCAAGGCAACGAUACGUAGCCGACCUGAGAGGGUGAUCGGCCACACUGGAACUGAGACACGGUCCAGACUCCUACGGGAGGCAGCAGUAGGGAAUCUUCCGCAAUGGGCGAAAGCCUGACGGAGCAACGCCGCGUGAGUGAUGAAGGUCUUCGGAUCGUAAAACUCUGUUAUUAGGGAAGAACAAACGUGUAAGUAACUGUGCACGUCUUGACGGUACCUAAUCAGAAAGCCACGGCUAACUACGUG